AAGGUAGCGUGAUAAGUUGCCCUUUAAUUGGGGGCUUGUAUGAACGGACACACGAGGGUUUAGCUGUCUCUUUCAUAGACCUGAAAAUUAAUCUUUAGGUGAAAAAACCUAAAUAAACACAAAGGACAAAAAGACCCCAUAGAGCUUCGUUUCAAUUUAUUCUCUAAAAAAAAUUAUUUAUAAAUUUUUAUUUUAAUUAAUAGAAAAAACUUAACUGGGGCGGUUGAAGAAAAAAUAAACUUCUUUUCAACAGUAUUAAUUUACACAAAAAGAUUUAACAAAUCCUAACAUAUAUUUGAGCCUAAUAUUAUUUACAUGCUAAAUUCAGUCUACACCUUGUAAUUAAUAAGCAUAUUAAAAUUUAUUUUCUUAUAGAUACAUAUACAUAUAUAGAUCAAAGGAAAAGCUACCUUGGGGGUAACAGAUUUAUCCUUCUUGAGAGUCCAUAUUGACAGAAGGGUUUGGCACCUCGAU
Molecule: ribosomal RNA, 474 nt
Filed under: Amphisamytha julianeae
Lineage: Eukaryota; Metazoa; Annelida; Polychaeta; Terebellida; Ampharetidae
Description: partial 16S ribosomal RNA
Rfam family: Bacterial large subunit ribosomal RNA
Source: RNAcentral